This 695-nucleotide ribosomal RNA is filed under the name uncultured rhodophyte. RNAcentral's name for it is "bacterial SSU rRNA". It matches the Rfam family "Bacterial small subunit ribosomal RNA", at positions 95 to 798 of the family's 1533-position model. The record is from RNAcentral. Lineage: Eukaryota; Rhodophyta.
GUGGCGGACGGGUGAGUAACGCGUGAGAAUUUGCCUUUAGGAGGGGGAUAACUAGUGGAAACACUAGCUAAAACCCCAUAUGCCCACGGGUGAAAAAGAGGAAGAAGGGAUAACCAUAAAUCCUCUGCCUGAAGAGAAGCUCGCGUCUGAUUAGCUAGUUGGUAGGGUAAUGGCCUACCAAGGCGACGAUCAGUAGCUGGUCUGAGAGGACGAUCAGCCACACUGGAACUGAGACACGGUCCAGACUCCUACGGGAGGCAGCAGUGAGGAAUUUUCUGCAAUGGGCGAAAGCCUGACAGAGCAAUACCGCGUGAGGGAAGAAGGCUUACUGAGUUGUAAACCUCGGUGCCUUAAGGAAGAAGAUCUGACGGUACUUAAGGUGGAAAGCAUCGGCUAACCCCGUGCCAGCAGCCGCGGUAAGACGGGGGAUGCAAGUGUUAUCCGGAAUCACUGGGCGUAAAGCGUCUGCAGGUGGUUUCCUAAGUCCACUGUUAAACCUUGGGGCUCAACCUCAAAUCUGCAGUGGAAACUAGGGAACUUGAGGAUAGUAGGGGUAGAGGGAAUUUCCAGUGGAGCGGUGAAAUGCGUAGAUAUUGGAAAGAACACCGAUGGCGAAGGCACUCUACUGGGCUAUGACUGACACUCAGAGACGAAAGCUAGGGGAGCAAAUGGGAUUAGAUACCCCAGUAGUCCUA